Molecule: ribosomal RNA, 497 nt
Filed under: uncultured bacterium
Lineage: Bacteria
Description: partial 16S ribosomal RNA
Rfam family: Bacterial small subunit ribosomal RNA
Source: RNAcentral
GAUGAACGCUGGCGGCGUGCCUAAUACAUGCCAGUCGAGCGAACGGACGAGAAGCUUGCUUCUCUGAUGUUAGCGGCGGACGGGUGAGUAACACGUGGAUAACCUACCUAUAAGACUGGGAUAACUUCGGGAAACCGGAGCUAAUACCGGAUAAUAUUUUGAACCGCAUGGUUCAAAAGUGAAAGACGGUCUUGCUGUCACUUAUAGAUGGAUCCGCGCUGCAUUAGCUAGUUGGUAAGGUAACGGCUUACCAAGGCAACGAUGCAUAGCCGACCUGAGAGGGUGAUCGGCCACACUGGAACUGAGACACGGUCCAGACUCCUACGGGAGGCAGCAGUAGGGAAUCUUCCGCAAUGGGCGAAAGCCUGACGGAGCAACGCCGCGUGAGUGAUGAAGGUCUUCGGAUCGUAAAACUCUGUUAUUAGGGAAGAACAUAUGUGUAAGUAACUGUGCACAUCUUGACGGUACCUAAUCAGAAAGACACGGCUAACUACGUG